This 563-nucleotide long non-coding RNA is filed under the name Triticum aestivum (bread wheat). RNAcentral describes it as "long non-coding RNA (TAES_LNC028181)". The record is from RNAcentral. Lineage: Eukaryota; Viridiplantae; Streptophyta; Magnoliopsida; Poales; Poaceae.
UAAAAGAACUAACUUAAAAUAUAUGGAUGGCAUAUCAGAACAAGUACUUGCUUGAUGAGAUACAUAAACACAAUAUUCAAAUAACCCGUGAGAGAAUUAUCUAACCAUAAACACAAUAUUCAUCAAAUAAUUAACUAUGCGGCAAUAAUCCUAUUACAUUACUGCCCACCAAACUCAGAGAAGUAGUUUAGUUGCAUUACUUCUUGCCAUGGAUUGAUAGCAGUAAGGACAACUGAUAAUCCAAAAUAAUGAAGUUGGAAAAAACAUAAGUUGGGGCAUACUGAUUUACUGAUCUUAUGGGUGACUGUAUCAGGUCAAAUAAUGGUGGGCAAGCACUGAGACGUCUGUCUUGUCCGUUGGGUGAACAAUUGCAAUGGAGAACUAAUGUGGGAGGUGUCCUAGAGCAGCAUCAACACUGUACUGCAAAUAAAUUAACCCAUCAGAAGUUCUAAAAUGACCCAAAGAAUCAGAGAAUGAGGAAAUGGAGAGGGCUACAUACAUAUGUCAAGUUGAUACCUGAAACCAGUCAUUUGGAUCACAAAUACUACUCAGUCAGCUUGAAC